Molecule: ribosomal RNA, 321 nt
Filed under: Triticum aestivum (bread wheat)
Lineage: Eukaryota; Viridiplantae; Streptophyta; Magnoliopsida; Poales; Poaceae
Description: partial small subunit ribosomal RNA
Source: RNAcentral
AUGAGAAAACCAAGGAGCUCUAGCGAAGUCACAAAGAAAAAACAUGUGAACCUCAUCCUCUUGCUGACCACAUCUGCAACAAUAUUGAGAAAUAUGUACGGAAAAGCGCCCAACCCUCAAACCUGUGGGAAGAGCUUUCCGAAGGAGUCUCCAAGCGAAAGUUUGAACUCUGGGGAUCAUCAACUUUUGCUUCCAAAUCAACUUGAGAAGAUUUUUCAUCUGCAAAGAAACUUGGGAAGGAGUAUUUCUUGGAUUGGCAUGAAUAUCCUGCAAACACAAUUUAUAAGUGGACUUGGAAGAACAAGUACCAUUAGGAGUUAG